Molecule: long non-coding RNA, 3279 nt
Organism: Plodia interpunctella (Indianmeal moth)
Lineage: Eukaryota; Metazoa; Arthropoda; Insecta; Lepidoptera; Pyralidae
Exons: 3
Source: RefSeq, a predicted model, not a curated record
UUGACACAGAAUAUAUUAUAAUGAUAUUAUAAACACGGAUCAGUAUGUAACCUAAAAUAUAAAAGUAUAUAAAUAUAUUAUACAUACAUACAUACGGAUAAUGUCUUGGGACAUAAGGGGGAUGCAAGUCGUAUAGAGAUGGAGAAAAUUUUGAGCAUUAAAAAAAUAUGUGAUCAGGUGUGACUUGAUCUUGACUAAAAAAAAGUUGACUGACGUCCAUUUGACAUGAGACGACACAUUUUUAAAUUUGGCGUUGGUGGACACAAGACUUUUUUUAUAGUACCAAUAUUUUAUUGUUUUGUUUUGUACCCUGUUGCCCUACGCGUCUGUCUGCGUCUAAGUUUUUUCUUUUAAACCACGCAACGGGUUUUAGUGCACUCUUAUAUAAACAAUUUAUUCCCGAAGGUUUAUAUACCUCUUGCGAGGUUGGGCGGGGUCGCUAGUAUUGUAUAAUUAUCCUAUGAUGAAUUGAAACUUUAUUAAUAAUUCCCGGGGAUUAUCUAUAUGAGCAAGCCUACAAUUUACGACCAAAAAUACCUUCUAGGCAAUCGUGGUCUUUGGCGCUGAAAAGGUUAAAGGAAAAAGGAAGGAUUUAGUGGAUUAUCCUGAAAAUAAUUUGGUAAACUGUGGUCAUCAUCAUCAUCUGCAGCCCUCCGUGACCCACUGCUGGGCAUAGGCCUCCUUCAUUCUCCGCCAACCAUUUCUGUCCUGGGCCAUCCCUAUCGUCAUAAACUGAUAUAAACUUGAUUUUCACUGAAGAUCUUACCUGCAUGAAGUCCAUAUUUUAUAAGUCUUCAUGUGUGAAGUGUUCCGAGCUAGAAACAAAAUUAUUUUUAAACAUAUAAGUACUUGAUAAUAGGAGAGCGUCAACAAGGCUAUGCCCCUGGCUGACACGACACCGCGAAAGUGGGGCCAACCGGCCAACACAUUUGAAUUGAUUUAUUUUGAAAAUUCCUUAUCUUUACAUAUAUAAAAAAAACAAAGUCCUCUAUCGCGUCUUUCUGUUCGCAAUAUUGCGAACAAACAGAUGUUUUUGAGUUUAUUUAAACUCAAACACAUACAAUGCAAUAAUAUAAUAUAAUAAAGAAUAAUGUCCCCUUGUCUGUCUCUAUGAACGCGAUAAACUCAAAAUCUAUCGGACAGAUUUUUGUACGGUUUUCACCAAUAGAUAAUAAGAUUCCUGAGAAAAGUUUAGGUGUAUAAUUUAUUACGUUGUUACUUGAGCUAUGUCUAGAUAAAAAUAAAUAUGGUUGUCCCUCUGCCAUGCCGUAGUGGACAAAAUCGUCGUCUCAGUUGGCCUGUGAUAGACAAGUACUAAGGACAGUUAUCAAGUUUAAGUUUAAAAAAUUAUUCCAUCGUGAUGUUCAAUCAAUCAAAUAUGUACUAUAUGCGCCCUGCUAGACAUGCAUUGAUUAUUUUACAUUAUGCAGGUUAUUUACAUACAUAUUUGUUCAGGUUUUUGUGGUGUAACGCCAUUUAUAAUGGUCUCUCUCUCUCUCUCAUCUGAGCGUUUGCAUUUGUGCGAGGAUAAAAAUAAAAGAAAUAAAAAUUACGUGUCAUUGCUAUAGUUUAUUGAUUUAAAAUACAAAAGUUGACCAAUAAGCUUAUAUCCUUUUAUUGUUACAGUGCCUGCGAACUGACAAUCCGAUAGGAGAUAAACAUAGCUCAUAUCACUUAACUGCACCAAACAUUUACACUCCAUGCUGUCACAGUACAAAUAAAUAGGUAUACUAUAUUGGUGGACGUCAGAUUCGCUGAUUGUCUUUAGAGCUGUUUCUUUCUCUGCCAACCACGAUUCAGACAUUAUUAUUGUUAUAAUUAUUUACAGCAGACAGAAUAUAAAAACACAAGCACAAAUUUGCACUUCAACACAUUCAUUCUUUCUUACAUUCAGUGCCAAACAUUUUAUAUUAUAAUACAUAUUUACUACGCCAUAUUUCGUAGUACGGCAUUGGCUGUAAAGAGCUCAACUCUUAUGAUAUACAUUACUACCUGUACAAAUUUACAAUAUUCACAGUUGACUUGAAACAAGAAUAUAAUGGAAGUAGUAAGAAAUAGUUCAUAAGAAAUAGGACAAGCUUAUUUAUAUCACAAAUGCUUGGCUUGGCCACAAAUUGUAAGAACAGAAUGCAAAAAAAGAUACAUCGGCGAAUGUUAACUGCUGGAAAUCUAAAGUUUGUCCCCCGCCGGUAAAGUUCGCAAAAGUUAACAACUGACAAAGAAACAUCUAACGUCCACAUAUAUUACAUACUCAAGCGCAAACAUCUAGGGCCAUCUCGAGUAAUGGAUUUAGUUAGAACUAUUAAAAUAAAUUGAUGUGUUCAUUAUCACUUAUCACCGAGACUAGUUGUUAAAACUGUAUUGUGCUGCAGAUUCCCUCGUCUCUAGUAUGCUCUAAAUGCGAACAAAAAUAAAAAUUUUAGCAAUCUCUUACAAAAUUAAAAAAAAAAUCUGAAAUGUCUUCUUUAAAAUACAAGAGCUUAUUGACAUUGUUAUGUGGAAAUCUGCAUUUUUUGAUACAAUUUCGUUAUUGCUCUAUAGUCAAAUUAAACACGUAUAUCCAUACCUAUGUAUUUCUUAUACUCUUUCUAACAAUCCUAUAAUCUCAUGAAGCAGAAAAGUAUUAUUGUAAAUAUUAUACAGAUAUUUGAAAUAGUACAUAACAGCAAGAUUAGAAAUAGAUUCAAAUCUACAAUCAAACGGGUUAAACUAGUACAGUGCUAUAAGAAAUAAAGUUUGUGAAAUACUUUAAUGCUUCAUGUAAAAACAAAUCGCCAGUACCUUACAAACAUUUUAGGAUAAUUAAAUUAAUAGUGUUUUUUUUUACAUUAUAAAAUCGGCAACGUCAUGCAGUCAGUCAGCGCUGUAGCUUGCUGCUUGCUGUUGCGUCGUCGGCGCCCGCGCCGGUUCCAGUGAGCUUCAGUCGAUAAUUAACUAAAAACAAUUCUAAAUUAUUAUAUUUUGCUAAUUCCUCUCUCGAACCGGCGCGGACGCUUCCCGUGCUCGGCACUCACGACACUUCCACGACCAAACAAAAUAACUCGAGCAAGUAUGCUAAUUAAAGUAUUUGAUAUACUUUAAUAUCCGCAUUGCCAUUGUCAAUUGUCAAGAAAAACAUAACAUUUAUUUAGGAAUAAUUUUGAUUUUUCUCGACGUAGACAUGGACACUUAUCAUAUGCACUGCUUGCAUAUUUAGGCUGCAAAAGCCAUCGUUUAGCGGCACUGAAGCGCUCAAAUAAAAAAAAAAAACAAUCUUCAAAAGUCCCCCGUGAGUGUCGA